CUGCACCCCUGACAUGCACAGCACACACACGGCACCCCUGACACGCACAUCACACACACACACUCACACACUGCACGUCUGACACUCACAGCACACACAAAAUGCUCACAGCUUCCUCACAUGCAUACACUGCACCCUCACACACAGCUUCCACACAUGCACGUAGCACCCUCACGCAAACACAGCACCCACUCACACACAGCACACACACACUGCACCCAUCAC
Non-coding RNA from Pelobates cultripes (western spadefoot toad), 225 nucleotides. Lineage: Eukaryota; Metazoa; Chordata; Amphibia; Anura; Pelobatidae. The record is from the annotation of a GenBank genome assembly.